Chelonia mydas (Green sea turtle) is the source of this 1122-nucleotide RNA transcript. It is a transcript of the gene named mitochondrial ribosomal protein L51, with no coding region annotated. The transcript has 4 exons. Lineage: Eukaryota; Metazoa; Chordata; Testudines; Cheloniidae. The record is from RefSeq and is a predicted model, not a curated record.
CUCUGUCGGGGCCGCUCCGGUGACCGGGGCUCUGUCUUUGCAGGGUGGACAAUGGGGCCUCUGCUGCAGCUGGCAAGAUGGGGCCUCUUGGGCCGUAGCCUGUCUCUGGUCCAGGCCGCGAGGAGCCUCCACUGUGGGGUCUCCAGCUGGAUCCAUGUGAAGUUGCCUCCUGAACCUAAAGAGGUUGAUCGCUGGACAGAGAAACGAGCCUUAUUUGGGGUCUAUGACAAUAUAGGAAUUCUAGGAGACUUCCACAUUCACCCCAAGGACUUGAUCACAGGGCCCAGGUGGCUGCAAGGCUGGAGGGGAAAUGAGCUACAAAGAUGCAUCCGCAAGAAGCAAAUUGUAGGACACCGAAUGUUUGAACAGGAUUACAAGAACCUUAACAAAAGGAUCAGGUUCCUGUACAGACGCUUCAACCGCACUGGAAAGCACCGCUAGGAGCAGACCUGUGAGAGCUAGCCAUGUGCAUCCUGGAAGGAAUGGCAUCCUGGGUCUAACAGGUUUAACACCUGGAGCUGUGCACAGAAUGGGGUGUUGUAAAAUCAUAAUAAACUGAGUUUCUCUUCCACAACCACCUUCUACUUCUGGUCUCUCUUGAAGCUCAGUUCCAACCCACAGACCCUUCUGCUUGUCCAGUCCUGAGCUCCCUUUGCACACCUUUGCUGAUUCCUCCUCCACCACCACCCUUAAAUUUAUCUUCUUCCUGCUUCCCUUAGUUUGGCUCCCCAUCUUCCUCUAUUGCAACCCCUCCCUAUAGUAUCUGGUUUCCAGCUUCAUAGUUUGUCACACCAACCUUAAUAUUGAAAUGACACAAAACAUUAAAUGUUUUCAAUUACCAGACACAAGCGCUCAGACAACCUUAAUUCCAUUUUAUAAUUCUCCCAGAGAGUUGCAAGUCUGUCUUGUAUUCUUCUUUUCCACUGAUUCCCCAUCUGCUACAGCUCACAGUUUAGUCAUCUGUCUGUCCUUCAGAACCCUCCAAUGAAUUGUGACUUGAGUAAUGCUGAAGUUACCUUAACAGCCGAGAAUUGAAGUUGCAUUGAAAUUUGUCUUUAAAGGAUGAUUAAUCCUUUUAAUACACACUACUUCCUGUGUUUAAUCUCUAUAUUUAAUAUACAC